This 520-nucleotide ribosomal RNA is filed under the name uncultured Glomeromycotina. Its description in RNAcentral is "SSU rRNA". It matches the Rfam family "Eukaryotic small subunit ribosomal RNA", at positions 569 to 1083 of the family's 1831-position model. The record is from RNAcentral. Lineage: Eukaryota; Fungi; Glomeromycota.
AGCAGCCGCGGUAAUUCCAGCUCCAAUAGCGUAUAUUAAAGUUGUUGCGGUUAAAAAGCUCGUAGUUGAAUUUCGGGAUUGACGUGAUGGUCAUGCCUUAAGGGGUAUGAACUGUCACAGUUGAUUUCUCACCUUCUGGAGAAACUUGAUGUCCUUUAUUGGGUGUCUUGCGGAUCCAGGACCUUUACCUUGAAAAAUUAGAGUGUUUAAAGCAGGCAUUUUUGCUCGAAUACAUUAGCAUGGAAUAAUAGAAUAGGACGGCAUGGUUCUAUUUUGUUGGUUUCUAGGAUCACCGUAAUGAUUAAUAGGGAUAGUUGGGGGCAUUAGUAUUCAAUUGUCAGAGGUGAAAUUCUUGGAUUUAUUGAAGACUAACUACUGCGAAAGCAUUUGCCAAGGAUGUUUUCAUUAAUCAAGAACGAAAGUUAGGGGAUCGAAGACGAUCAGAUACCGUCGUAGUCUUAACCAUAAACUAUGCCGACUAGGAAUCAGACGAUGUUAAUUUUUUAAUGUACUCGUUUGG